GGAGAACUUAGAUCUGCUUCCCCUGUGGUAACUGGAACACAGAAGGAUGAAGUGGAAGGAAGCUUUCAGGGCGGAGAACUACAUUUACCUGAAUCACCUCUCCUGCAUGGUUCCAAGUUACUGCGAAUCAAAAGAGAAACUCACAUGAAAUUUGGAAGGUAGAAGCGAAGCAGAGGUAUUUUGGAAGAUUGGGAGAGACAGACAGUGAUGCACAGACACAAAGGUGUUUGGCAAGAGAGCCUAGGAAUGCACUCCACAGAAUCAGCAACCCUGAGCAGAAAGCACAUUAAGGAUGGAC
This is a long non-coding RNA of Ailuropoda melanoleuca (giant panda), 298 nucleotides long. RefSeq lists it as uncharacterized. The transcript has 3 exons. The record is from RefSeq and is a predicted model, not a curated record. Lineage: Eukaryota; Metazoa; Chordata; Mammalia; Carnivora; Ursidae.